Manduca sexta (tobacco hornworm) is the source of this 1049-nucleotide RNA transcript. It is a transcript of the gene named basic juvenile hormone-suppressible protein 2, with no coding region annotated. NCBI's taxonomy places the organism in Eukaryota, Metazoa, Arthropoda, Insecta, Lepidoptera, Sphingidae. The transcript is spliced from 3 exons. The annotation marks the transcript as partial. The record is from RefSeq and is a predicted model, not a curated record.
AAGUGUUGAUUGAUCACAGUUGAACUCCCAUCGGGUUGGCUGCACGAUGAAGGCAUUUCUUAUACUGGUACUGGGCCUCGCCGCCCUGGCCGCGGCUCGGCCUGAAUACGAUGACAACACCUUCGUGAACAUGGAUAUCAAACAAAGGCAAAUCUUCAUCUUGAAGUUGUUGAACCACGUGACGGAACCUGUUAUGUACAAGGAAAUCGAGGAUAUUGGCAAGAAUUUCAAGAUUGAAGACAACGUCGAAUUUUACACUAAAACCGAUGUUGUGAAGACCUUUGUCAAUAUGGUUAAGAUCGGUACGCUGCCACGAGGUGAAGUUUUCACUCUGCACGUCGACCGCCAGCUGAAGGAAGUUGUUAACAUGUUCCACCUUCUGUACUACGCUAAGGACUUCACCACAUUCAUCAAGACCGCUUGCUGGAUGCGUCUUUACCUCAACGAAGGCAUGUUUGUAUACGCUCUCACUGUUGCUGUCAGACACCGCACUGACUGCAAAGGCAUCAUCCUUCCUCCUCCCUACGAAAUCUAUCCUUACUACUUCGUACGCGCCGACGUCAUCCAGAAGGCUUACUUACUCAAAAUGAGGAGAGGACUCCUUGAUCUCAAGCUCUGCGACUUCUACGGCAUUAAAAAGACUGAGAAAGACGUAUACAUCAUUGAUGAGAAUGUAUAUGACAAACGCGUGAACUUAAACGUAGAAGACAAGCUCCGAUACUUCACUGAAGAUAUUGACUUAAACACUUACUAUUACUACUUCCACAUUGACUAUCCGUUCUGGAUGAAGGAUCAGAUUUACGACAAAUUCAAUGUCAGACGUUUCGAGCUUACGCUGUACAUGUACCAACAAAUCCUGGCUAGAUACUACCUUGAGCGCUUGUCCAACGGAUUAGGUAAAAUUCAUGAACUGUCCUGGUACAAGCCCAUCCAAAAGGGAUACUGGCCAUGGCUGAAGCUUCACAACGGUGUUGAAAUCCCAGUAAGGUUCAACAACUACGUUAUUGCUAGAGACGACAAUGUUGACGUCAUCCGUCUGCGAGGACUAC